Non-coding RNA from Podarcis muralis (Common wall lizard), 413 nucleotides. The record is from RefSeq and is a predicted model, not a curated record. NCBI's taxonomy places the organism in Eukaryota, Metazoa, Chordata, Lepidosauria, Squamata, Lacertidae.
UCGCCAUUUUGAGAGUGGCUGGUCAUGGAGAAGCAGAGCUCAGAAGAGCAUAAGCACUUGCUUGAUUUGAUCAACAGGGAAGCAUAAGGCUGGCUCAGAUAUUAGCUCUUCUACUCCCCUCAUUGCAGGUGCUGAUUUCCCCCACCUUGUGUUACUGCAUUUGUUUUGUUACUGCUGAAUUACCUUCGGUUUGCCUUUGAUUCGAUGCCUGCUAUGCUCCUAUCAAUGCAUCUUGUUCCAAAACUAAGAAUACUGAAUUUGCUAUUUCCCCAGCCACCCUGGUUCUCCAACAGCAGUGAGUACAUGGCAUGGUUUGUAUAGCUCGUCAUAAAAUGGACUGGUCAAAAGAAGGAGGGAAACAAGGAAUGGACAAACAUAUGUGUUAUCUGACUUCUGAAACAAGAUGGAGGCAU